CAGUCGCCGCGGUAAUACAGAGGAUGCAAGCGUUAUCCGGAAUGAUUGGGCGUAAAGCGUCUGUAGGUGGCUUUUCAAGUCCACCGUCAAAUCCCCGGGCUCAACCCUGGACAGGCAGUGGAAACUACUAAGCUGGAGUACGGUAGGGGCAGAGGGAAUUCCGGUGGAGCGGUGAAAUGCGUUGAGAUCGGAAAGAACACCAACGGCGAAAGCACUCUGCUGGGCCGACACUGACACUGAGAGACGAAAGCUAGGGGAGCAAAUGGGAUUAGAUACCCCCGUAGUCCCUGUCUCUUAUACA
This 301-nucleotide ribosomal RNA is filed under the name uncultured bacterium. RNAcentral describes it as "partial 16S ribosomal RNA". It matches the Rfam family "Bacterial small subunit ribosomal RNA", at positions 509 to 808 of the family's 1533-position model. The record is from RNAcentral.